Long non-coding RNA from Hippopotamus amphibius kiboko, 3031 nucleotides. RefSeq lists it as uncharacterized. NCBI's taxonomy places the organism in Eukaryota, Metazoa, Chordata, Mammalia, Artiodactyla, Hippopotamidae. The record is from RefSeq and is a predicted model, not a curated record. The transcript is spliced from 3 exons.
CCGCGCCUGCGCCCAGCGACCCCCGGACCGGCCCCGCGUGGAGGCGCGCGCGCCCCCCGCGGGCAGUCGGCCCGACCCUCCGUGGCGCGGAGCUUCCUCACGCGGCCGCGGCCGGCCCCCGUCACGCGCGGCGGCCUCGCGCCGGCCCGGCUGUCAGUCGCACACGCGCAGGCGGCUGCCCAGCCCACUGUCACGCACAGGCCCGGCCGCGGCGUCUCCCUCAAGCCCGCUCCCUGAGCGCCGCCCGCGCAGCGACCGCGAGGAGAGCCACUCCCGAGACUCACCCCUGCAGUUUAGCUGCCCCUGUCACAGAACACUGCCCAAACUAAAGGCACCUUCGGGCACAGUGGAGCCUGUCUGACUGAGGUUGAGCCAGGCAGAGCCAGACAGAGCAGGACAACGUACUGCCUUUCAGAGGUGAGAGGCCCAGCAGAGCACCCGCAGCUGAUGCUAGAGAAAGAUCCAGGCUUCCAGCAACGUAUUCUACAGGCACCAGGUACAGAGCAGAAGAGGAAGGGAAUGGAAAUACUUGCAAGAUGUCUGUAUAAUGGAAAUCCUAAGGAGGAAAAGCAGAACAAACAAAGAUGAGGAUAUAAAGAUGUGAAUGAGCUCAGGACAAUCUUUUCAGUAGCUGGAGCAUGUGCUACUGUGGCUCUCUAAAGUCCUGAUCCUUUCAAUGACCUGUGAGACCAGAAGUAGUGUAACCCUGGCUAUGACUGCAAGCAAACCGACCCAAGUUUCUAGAAAGGGGGCAAGGACAGGGUACAUCAAAGGGACACAUUUCAGCUGUGCUCUUUUUUACCCUUGACUAACCAAAUUUUUUAAAUUGUCAAAAAUCUGUAAGUCACAUAAUGCUUGAGUUAAAUUUCUUGAAGGAGCAGAGAUGGAGUAGAAGGUAUAAUAUUACAUGAGAGAAGUGAAUGAGCAAAACAUAGAUACAAGAGCAAGCAGACUCUUAGGAGAAAUCCCUGGAGGCUAAGCUGAAAGGUGUACAGCAGAGCCCCAUGAUGGCAGCCUCCCAUAAACUGGACCUGAAGUUCCCCAUGAAGUAAAACCACCAAAUACCACCCUUCACCCGCUAUGACAAAAACUUACUCUUCACAGACCUUUGGGUCAGAUCAGGUCAGUGGACUCAUGCUUUAAUCAUCCCUUUACUCCAAACAUGUAGCAAUGAAAGUGCUCCAUGUAAGAAGGGCAGCCUGAAGCCAGGUCUGUGUUAGCUUGGGCUGAGCUGGGCUAGAAGCCUCCCUCUAAGACAGGAGGAAUGGGCGGUGAAGUGGAGAGCAAAGAGGAGGAAAAGGGACUGACACCCAGGCAAAAACUACCUCCCAGUCAAACGGGUUUACAAACAAAUUCCAAAAUAAUGAGGAAAAUGGGUUAGAAGGACUGCCAACAAAACAAUAAUUAGUACGUGAAUUUACUUCAGGUAACGUUUUAAAGAACAAAGACUUUCAAGAGGAAAAAAAUAUAACAUCUACUAAAAAGGACAAAAAAUGAUAAAAUAAAGCACAGCUUAAAUGAAAUGAAAUCAGGUAAAUAUGAAAUAAAAAUAAUUAUUUCAAAACAAAAAUAAUAACUGAAAACAAAGUAUAGAUGGGGUAAACUUUAGAAUGGAUGUAAUCAAACAGAGAAUUAGUGAAUAGAAUUAAGUCCUAGAGAACUCCCCCCAAAUGAAGACCAGACCUAAUGAGAUAAAGAAAUAAAUGACAGGAAUGACCUAGAAGCUAUGGAAGAAAUAAUGGCUGAGAGUUUUCUAGAAUAAAAAUGCUUUUGUCCUCGAAUUGAAAGUCUAGUCUGAGUAUCUUUAAAAAUAUAUCUAUACUUAGAUACACCACAGAGCACCAAUAAUAAAGAUGUAUUCUCUACUGGAGAAAAGAUAGAGCAUGAGAAUGAAAAUAAAGAAACUUCCAGGUAAACAAAGGAAAAAUCUGCCACCUAUGGAAACUCACUAAAUAAAUGGUAAAGGAUGUAUUUCAACAAGUAAACAUGGAGAGAAGGUACUGAGUACAGAAAUUAAUCAAGUAUUUGACUGUGACGGCAGUUGACUAGUGAGAAGCUAAGGUUUUAUGGAUGACUGUGUUUUUUAAAAAUAUAAAAAGUGUCACUAUUCAGAAACUCCAAAAGACACAGACCCUUUCAGAAUAAGAGUUAAGCAGUGUUGCCAGAUAGAAGAUCACUAUUAAAAAAUCAACAGCAUUACCACCCCAGUAAUAACAAAAAUGUAACAACAACAACAACAAAAAGCUUAUUCAAUAGCACAAAAAACUAAAAGGUCUCUAAGAAAAGUUUUUUAAAAAUGUGUAAAACCUUUAUGGAGAAAAUUACGAAACAAUAUUGAAGGAUGUAUUCAAAGACAUGAAUUAAUGAGAGGGGUGAUAUGUUCAUGGAUGGAAGAUUCAAUAAAAUAAUAUUAAUAUUUUCUCCCUAUUAAUCUAUAAUUUCAAUGCAAUCUUAUUAAAAAAGUCUCAACAGUCUUCAUUAGAACUUGACAAAUUUAUCUCAAAAUUAAUGUGAAACAGCAGAGAGCCAAGACAAUUUUGAAGAAUGAGAUGAAGGAAACUUGUCCGACUCAAGAGUAAGACUUUAUGAAGCUACAGCAGUUAAGACAGCAUGUUACUGAUGAAGAAACAGACAAAUGAAACAGGACAGAGAGCCCAGAAACAAUAUGACAUAUAUGUAGAAAUGUGACAUGUGACAGACGGGGUAACCACAACUAAAUUGUUCUGGGACAACUGGUCAUGCAUUUGGAAAAAAAUAUAUUAGAUCUCAACCUCAUACCAUACACAAAAAUACAUUCCAGUGGAUCAAAGAUCCAAAUAUAAAAAGCAAAAUUUUAGAAACAUUGGCCAGGAUCUGGAAAAAAGAGACCCUUGUGCGCAAUGUUGGGAGGAUGAUGGUGAUUUAAACUGGUUCAAGUACUUCAGAGAACAAUCUGGAAAUACCUAAUAAAGAAUCUUUAAGGGAAAUUUUCAUCUAUAUACACAAGGAAAAUGUGUUUAUUCCAGCAGUAUUUAUAUUAGCAAAUGACUGU